Long non-coding RNA from Setaria italica (foxtail millet), 2057 nucleotides. RefSeq lists it as uncharacterized. NCBI's taxonomy places the organism in Eukaryota, Viridiplantae, Streptophyta, Magnoliopsida, Poales, Poaceae. The record is from RefSeq and is a predicted model, not a curated record. The transcript is spliced from 4 exons.
CGCCAUCCACCGCCGCCGCUCACCAUCCGCACCCGCUGCCGCCGCUCGCCCGCAGCUGCCGCGCCGCCCCUCUCCUCCUCCGCAUCGACCCCGCGCCGCCCCUCGCGCACCUCGCGUCGACCCCGUGCCGCCUCUCUCCUCCGCAUUGAUGCCUCGCGCCCCUCGCCCCUCGCGUUGACUCCGCGCCGCCCCUCUCCUCCUCCGCAUCGACGCCGCGCCGUCCCUCGCGUCGACCCCACGCCGCCCCUCUCCUCCUCCGCAUCGACUCCACGCCGGACGCCGCAAUGGCCCGCCGGCGCUAGGUUCGAUCCCCUCGACCGCCCGAUGCCGCCGGUGAGCCCCUACAACGAAUUGUGUUUGUACUGGUCCGUAAGAUGUCGUAUUCAAUUAGCCACUGGAAGGACCCAUCGCGUGAAGAACGGAGCUGCCGUAGUUUGGUAUUUGACCGCCAGCUGCUGCCGAUUCCGCCGUUGUUCGUCGUCGGUGAGCGCCCCGCCCGUCCCCCGUUCUCUCCCAUCUUCCAUUCGCUGCUAGCGACGGCGUGACCCAGAUGGUCGAGCCAUGUCCAAAGCAAACCAUUGUUCCUUGCAAACCUUGCAGAUAACCCGAUGCAUACCAUAGUUCCCCAAUAUUCUCGUGAGAUUUGGCAUAAUUAUUAUAUGUUGCAAACCUUGCAGAUAACCUGAUGCAAAUUGUAGUUCCUAGCAAUAAAAACCAGUGGAAGCCUUAUGUUAUUUUGUUCGUAUUGAUCAUCCCUUGCAGAUAAUCUCCUCCAUGGCAGGCAGCUCACUCAUCAUCCCUUCAGCCUGCAAUUUUGUUCAUAUAUAUGUGCGUUUCAAUGGAGAAUUUGUUUGGUGAUACAAGUGAUACAACCUAUAUGUGCACUUAUGUUUCCCUGUGUACAUUUAACCGUGUAAUGUGUUGAAAUGCAUUUAAGUAUUAUCUAUAAUGAAUACAACCGAACCUUGUGUUUUUUUGAUCCAUCUUGUAUAACCAUUAUACUGAAUUUUUAUUCGACGUGCCUGAUUUUUGCUCUCAUUACUUGCAGUGGCGCUAGUUCACUACUCACUCAUGCUUUGUUUUCUGCAUUGAAUACAUGAUUUGGAAUGACUUGCUUCCUCUCCUCUCAGUUUAUCUCUCACCUGUAUACAAAGAGCGGAUGAGUGAGCUGGAUUAUGUCAGUUUACAGCCUGAGCUCCCAUGAAGAUCAUGGAGCUCAUUGCCAGAGGCCCAGAGCCAUCAUCAGCUGUCUUUAACCUGCUGAAUCUUUUCCUACAAAGUAUGUUUAUAUCUGAACUUUAUUCAUCUGCCUGCAGCUCCCAGAUCACACCUUUGCAAACAGAAAAGGUCAAUGACAUUCGGAUGUAUCACUGGCUGGUGCGCCAUUGAUCAGCUCACACUGGAUAUAUUCCAUUACCAGAAUAAAUGCCUUACUGAUGCCCCCCAGCGAUAAGAGGAUACAUAGCUUGGGACUAGAUGAAGUGAACUAUCUUUGAUGUCUUGCUGAUUUCUGGAAUGUACUGUGGGGUUGCUGCUGCUUCUGUAGCUGGAAACGCUGGCCACAUGCUCGACCAGUUAAUGUACAAUGGUGUGUUUGUGACACGUCACUAUGACAAUGGAUAGAGGUUGAUGAAUUAAACUAAGAAGUGGGAAAACUUGCUGAUGUUUUCCUCAAGCAGUUAGCAGUCCAAGAUUUAGUGAUAGCAGGGAGCAACCAGUUUGGUUUUGUUCUUAGGGCUGAUAAUAGUCCAGCAGCCCGUUCAGAUUGUCAACACUACAGUAUAGCGACAGCUGGAGAUGCACCAUAGUGUCACUACGGUGCUGAAGUACCUAGUCAUUUACGUGCAUAGGCCGUGUGAGGAGUGUAUUCCUGCACUCGAAUUUCUGAUUUUGUUGUAAUUAUGAGUGCACACAUUCGACAUUCUAGGUGUAGAGGUUAUGAUCUUUUCUAAUUUGCAGGAUAGUGUGGUAUGUACUCAUUUCAACUCAUUCUGACAAGGUCAACAUGAAGUUUGAGUUUGCAAUGUUUUUGCAAUGACAAAUGUCAUUAUUUUUUA